This 256-nucleotide ribosomal RNA is filed under the name uncultured bacterium. RNAcentral's name for it is "partial 16S ribosomal RNA". It matches the Rfam family "Bacterial small subunit ribosomal RNA", at positions 524 to 776 of the family's 1533-position model. The record is from RNAcentral.
UACGUAGGAGACGAGCGUUGUCCGGAGUUACUGGGCGUAAAGGGUGCGCAGGUGGCGGCGCGCGUGGGGGGUGAAAUCGCCCGGCUUAACUGGGCGGGGGCCUUCCAGACGGCGUGGCUUGAGCAGCGGAGGGGGACGUGGAAUUCCGGGUGGAGCGGUGAAAUGCGUAGAGAUCCGGAGGAACACCGACGGCGCAGGCAGCGUCCUGGGGAGUACCUGACGCGUCAGGUGCGGAAAAGCCAGGGGAGCGAACGGG